UACGUAGGGUGCAAGCGUUGUCCGGAAUUAUUGGGCGUAAAGAGCUCGUAGGCGGUCUGUCGCGUCGGCUGUGAGAACCCGGAGCUCAACUCCGGGCCUGCAGUCGAUACGGGCAGACUGGAGUUCGGCAGGGGAGUCUGGAAUUCCUGGUGUAGCGGUGAAAUGCGCAGAUAUCAGGAGGAACACUGGUGGCGAAGGCGGAUCUCUGGGCCAUUACUGACGCUGAGGAGCGAAAGCGUGGGGAG
RNAcentral lists this ribosomal RNA (245 nucleotides) under uncultured Blastococcus sp. Its description in RNAcentral is "partial 16S ribosomal RNA". It matches the Rfam family "Bacterial small subunit ribosomal RNA", at positions 524 to 768 of the family's 1533-position model. Lineage: Bacteria; Bacillati; Actinomycetota; Actinomycetes; Geodermatophilales; Geodermatophilaceae. The record is from RNAcentral.